CCUGGGUAGUAUUAGUUAUUGUGCUUGAAAACCCAAAGAAUUUGGCGGUAUUUUAUUCUUUAUACAGGAGCCUGUCCUGAUAAUAUGAUAAUCCACGAUGGGGAAUUACUUAUUUUUGUGUUCAUUUUGUAUACCUCCGUCAUCAGAGUAUCUUUUUAGAGUUAAUAUUCAGUAGAUACAUAAUAUAAAAUGUCAGGUCAAGGUGCAAUUAAUAGAUAAGUAGAGAUGGGCUACAAUAAAUUUAUUUAUACGGAUUUAUUUAUUAUUAUUGAUAUAAUGAAGGUGGAUUUAAAAGUAAAACUAUUUCCUAAAUAUUUUGACUUUAGCUCUAAAAUAUGCACACAUCGCCCGUCGCUCUUAUUUUAAAAUAAGAUAAGUCGUAACAUAGUAGAGGUACCGGAAGGUGUCUCUAGAA
Molecule: ribosomal RNA, 415 nt
Filed under: Neurothemis stigmatizans
Lineage: Eukaryota; Metazoa; Arthropoda; Insecta; Odonata; Libellulidae
Description: partial 12S ribosomal RNA
Source: RNAcentral